Molecule: microRNA precursor, 70 nt
Filed under: Myotis davidii
Lineage: Eukaryota; Metazoa; Chordata; Mammalia; Chiroptera; Vespertilionidae
Description: mir-9229 microRNA precursor family
Rfam family: mir-9229 microRNA precursor family
Source: Rfam by way of RNAcentral
GAGACACCCUUAUGGACUUGCUUCAGUGGGGCUUUGGUGCUCACUGAGUCUGCACCUUGAGUGUGUCACU